UUGUUUGCGGAUGUAGCAUCAUCAAGAUUCACAUGUAAAUACAUGGCGGUUAAGUAAUAAUCUCUGCCCGAGUUCUGAACUGAGAAUCUUGAUGAUGCUGCAUCGGCAAUAAG
This is a non-coding RNA of Nelumbo nucifera (sacred lotus), 113 nucleotides long. The record is from Rfam. NCBI's taxonomy places the organism in Eukaryota, Viridiplantae, Streptophyta, Magnoliopsida, Proteales, Nelumbonaceae.